Schistosoma mattheei is the source of this 45-nucleotide non-coding RNA. The record is from Rfam. NCBI's taxonomy places the organism in Eukaryota, Metazoa, Platyhelminthes, Trematoda, Strigeidida, Schistosomatidae.
AUUCAGCUGACGAGUCCCAAAUAGGACGGGACGCGUGUGCUGGAU